RNAcentral lists this ribosomal RNA (500 nucleotides) under uncultured bacterium. Its description in RNAcentral is "partial 16S ribosomal RNA". It matches the Rfam family "Bacterial small subunit ribosomal RNA", at positions 30 to 523 of the family's 1533-position model. The record is from RNAcentral.
AUUGAACGCUGGCGACAUGCUUUACACAUGCAAGUCGAACGGUAACAGGGUGCUUGCACCGCUGACGAGUGGCGAACGGGUGAGUAAUGCGUCGGAACGUGCCGAGUAGUGGGGGAUAACGCAGCGAAAGUUGUGCUAAUACCGCAUACGUACUGAGGUAGAAAGUGGGGGACCUUCGGGCCUCACGCUAUUCGAGCGGCCGACGUCUGAUUAGCUAGUAGGUGAGGUAAAGGCUCACCUAGGCGACGAUCAGUAGCGGGUCUGAGAGGAUGAUCCGCCACACUGGGACUGAGACACGGCCCAGACUCCUACGGGAGGCAGCAGUGGGGAAUUUUGGACAAUGGGCGAAAGCCUGAUCCAGCCAUGCCGCGUGUCUGAAGAAGGCCUUCGGGUUGUAAAGGACUUUUGUCAGGGAGGAAAUCCCUAGUGCUAAUAACACUGGGGGAUGACAGUACCUGAAGAAUAAGCACCGGCUAACUACGUACCAGCCGCCGCAGUAA